RNAcentral lists this ribosomal RNA (2920 nucleotides) under Acinetobacter baumannii. Its description in RNAcentral is "bacterial LSU rRNA". It matches the Rfam family "Bacterial large subunit ribosomal RNA". Lineage: Bacteria; Pseudomonadati; Pseudomonadota; Gammaproteobacteria; Moraxellales; Moraxellaceae. The record is from RNAcentral.
GUUGUAUAGUCAAGUAAUUAAGUGCAUGUGGUGGAUGCCUUGGCAGUCAGAGGCGAUGAAAGACGUGAUAGCCUGCGAAAAGCUCCGGGGAGGCGGCAAAUAUCCUUUGAUCCGGAGAUGUCUGAAUGGGGGAACCCACCUACUUUAAGGUAGGUAUUGCAACAUGAAUACAUAGUGUUGCAAGGCGAACGAGGGGAAGUGAAACAUCUCAGUACCCUUAGGAAAAGAAAUCAAUUGAGAUUCCCUCAGUAGCGGCGAGCGAACGGGGAUCAGCCCAUUAAGUUAUGUGUGUUUUAGUGGAACGCUCUGGGAAGUGCGAACGUAGAGGGUGAUAUUCCCGUACACGAAAGGGCACACAUAAUGAUGACGAGUAGGGCGAGGCACGUGAAACCUUGUCUGAAUAUUGGGGGGACCAUCCUCCAAGGCUAAAUACUCCUGACUGACCGAUAGUGAACCAGUACCGUGAGGGAAAGGCGAAAAGAACCCCUGUGAGGGGAGUGAAAUAGAUCCUGAAACCGCAUGCAUACAAGCAGUUGGGAGCACCUUCGUGGUGUGACUGCGUACCUUUUGUAUAAUGGGUCAGCGACUUAUAUUCAGUAGCGAGGUUAACCGUAUAGGGGAGCCGUAGAGAAAUCGAGUCUUAAUAGGGCGUUUAGUUGCUGGGUAUAGACCCGAAACCAGGCGAUCUAUCCAUGAGCAGGUUGAAGGUUGGGUAACACUAACUGGAGGACCGAACCCACUGUCGUUGAAAAGCCAGGGGAUGACUUGUGGAUAGGGGUGAAAGGCUAAUCAAGCCUGGUGAUAGCUGGUUCUCCCCGAAAGCUAUUUAGGUAGCGCCUCGGACGAAUACCAUAGGGGGUAGAGCACUGUUUCGGCUAGGGGGUCAUCCCGACUUACCAAACCGAUGCAAACUCCGAAUACCUAUGAGUACUAUCCGGGAGACAGACUGCGGGUGCUAACGUCCGUAGUCAAGAGGAAAACAAUCCAGACCGCCAGCUAAGGCCCCAAAAUCAUAGUUAAGUGGGAAACGAUGUGGGAAGGCAUAGACAGCUAGGAGGUUGGCUUAGAAGCAGCCACCCUUUAAAGAAAGCGUAAUAGCUCACUAGUCGAGUCGGCCUGCGCGGAAGAUGUAACGGGGCUAAAACUAUGUGCCGAAGCUGCGGAUGUAUACUUUGUAUACGUGGUAGGGGAGCGUUCUGUAAGCCGAUGAAGGUGUGUUGAGAAGCAUGCUGGAGGUAUCAGAAGUGCGAAUGCUGACGUGAGUAACGACAAAACGGGUGAAAAACCCGUUCGCCGAAAGACCAAGGGUUCCAGUCCAACGUUAAUCGGGGCUGGGUGAGUCGACCCCUAAGGCGAGGCCGAAAGGCGUAGUCGAUGGGAAAAUGGUUAAUAUUCCAUUACUUCUGUGUAAUGCGAUGAGAGGACGGAGAAGGCUAAAUCAGCCUGGCGUUGGUUGUCCAGGUGAAAGGAUGUAGGCAUGUAUCUUAGGCAAAUCCGGGGUACUCUAUGCUGAGAUCUGAUAGCAAGCUGUACUUGUACAGCGAAGUGGUUGAUGCCAUGCUUCCAGGAAAAGUCUCUAAGCUUCAGUUACACAGGAAUCGUACCCGAAACCGACACAGGUGGUCAGGUCGAGUAGACCAAGGCGCUUGAGAGAACUCUGCUGAAGGAACUAGGCAAAAUGGUACCGUAACUUCGGGAGAAGGUACGCUGUUGUUGGUGAUGGAACUCGCUUCCUGAGCUGACGACAGCCGCAGAAACCAGGCCGCUGCAACUGUUUAUUAAAAACAUAGCACUCUGCAAACACGAAAGUGGACGUAUAGGGUGUGAUGCCUGCCCGGUGCUGGAAGGUUAAUUGAUGGGGUUAGCGUAAGCGAAGCUCUUGAUCGAAGCCCCAGUAAACGGCGGCCGUAACUAUAACGGUCCUAAGGUAGCGAAAUUCCUUGUCGGGUAAGUUCCGACCUGCACGAAUGGCAUAAUGAUGGCGGCGCUGUCUCCAGCAGAGGCUCAGUGAAAUCGAAAUCGCUGUGAAGAUGCAGUGUACCCGCGGCUAGACGGAAAGACCCCGUGAACCUUUACUGCAGCUUGACACUGAACUUUGACCUUACUUGUGUAGGAUAGGUGGGAGGCUUUGAAGCUGGAACGCUAGUUCCAGUGGAGCCGUCCUUGAAAUACCACCCUGGUAAUGUUGAGGUUCUAACUCUGUCCCGUGAUCCGGGACGAGGACCGUGUCUGGUGGGUAGUUUGACUGGGGCGGUCUCCUCCUAAAGAGUAACGGAGGAGUACGAAGGUGCGCUCAGCGUGGUCGGAAAUCACGCGUAGAGUAUAAAGGCAAAAGCGCGCUUAACUGCGAGACCCACAAGUCGAGCAGGUACGAAAGUAGGUCUUAGUGAUCCGGUGGUUCUGUAUGGAAGGGCCAUCGCUCAACGGAUAAAAGGUACUCUGGGGAUAACAGGCUGAUACCGCCCAAGAGUUCAUAUCGACGGCGGUGUUUGGCACCUCGAUGUCGGCUCAUCUCAUCCUGGGGCUGAAGCAGGUCCCAAGGGUAUGGCUGUUCGCCAUUUAAAGAGGUACGCGAGCUGGGUUUAGAACGUCGUGAGACAGUUCGGUCCCUAUCUACCGUGGGCGCUGGAAAUUUGAGAGGAUCUGCUCCUAGUACGAGAGGACCAGAGUGGACGAACCUCUGGUGUACCGGUUGUGACGCCAGUCGCAUCGCCGGGUAGCUAUGUUCGGAAGGGAUAACCGCUGAAAGCAUCUAAGCGGGAAGCCUACCUCAAGAUAAGAUUUCCCUAGGACUUUAUGUCCUCUAAAGAGCCGUUCGAGACUAGGACGUUGAUAGGUUGGAUGUGGAAGCAUAGUGAUAUGUGAAGCUGACCAAUACUAAUUGCUCGUGAGGCUUGACUAUACAACACCCAAGCAGUUG